UACAGAGGGUGCAAGCGUUAAUCGGAAUUACUGGGCGUAAAGGGCGCGUAGGUGGUGCGUCAAGUGAGAUGUGAAAUCCCUGGGCUUAACCUAGGAAAGUCAUCUUAGACUGGCGUACUGGAGUGCAGUAGAGGGUAGUGGAAUUUCCGGUGUAGCGGUGAAAUGCGUAGAGAUCGGAAGGAACAUCAGUGGCGAAGGCGGCUACCUGGACUGACACUGACACUGAGGCGCGAAAGCGUGGGUAGCAAACAGG
Molecule: ribosomal RNA, 253 nt
Filed under: uncultured bacterium
Lineage: Bacteria
Description: partial 16S ribosomal RNA
Rfam family: Bacterial small subunit ribosomal RNA
Source: RNAcentral